RNAcentral lists this ribosomal RNA (501 nucleotides) under uncultured bacterium. RNAcentral's name for it is "partial 16S ribosomal RNA". It matches the Rfam family "Bacterial small subunit ribosomal RNA", at positions 30 to 523 of the family's 1533-position model. The record is from RNAcentral.
AUUGAACGCUGGCGGCAGGCUUAACACAUGCAAGUCGAGCGGGGGAAGGUAGCUUGCUACCGGACCUAGCGGCGGACGGGUGAGUAAUGCUUAGGAAUCUGCCUAUUAGUGGGGGACAACAUCUCGAAAGGGAUGCUAAUACCGCAUACGUCCUACGGGAGAAAGCAGGGGAUCUUCGGACCUUGCGCUAAUAGAUGAGCCUAAGUCGGAUUAGCUAGGUGGUGGGGUAAAGGCCUACCAAGGCGACGAUCUGUAGCGGGUCUGAGAGGAUGAUCCGGCACACUGGGACUGAGACACGGCGCAGACUCCUACGGGAGGCAGCAGUGGGGAAUAUUGGACAAUGGGGGGAACCCUGAUCCAGCCAUGCCGCGUGUGUGAAGAAGGCCUUAUGGUUGUAAAGCACUUUAAGCGAGGAGGAGGCUACUUUAGUUAAUACCUAGAGAUAGUGGACGUUACUCGCAGAAUAAGCACCGGCUAACUCGGUGCCAGCCGCCGCCGUAA